GUUGUCAUGGCCAAGGGAUGAAGGCGUUGGACUUGGAAUCCAAUGGUGUUCCCCUACACAGCUUCAAGUCUUGCUCACAGCU
This is a non-coding RNA of Turdus rufiventris (rufous-bellied thrush), 82 nucleotides long. Lineage: Eukaryota; Metazoa; Chordata; Aves; Passeriformes; Turdidae. The record is from the annotation of a GenBank genome assembly.